RNAcentral lists this transfer RNA (77 nucleotides) under Gammaproteobacteria bacterium. Its description in RNAcentral is "tRNA-Arg". It matches the Rfam family "tRNA". Rfam says of the family: Transfer RNA (tRNA) molecules are approximately 80 nucleotides in length. Their secondary structure includes four short double-helical elements and three loops (D, anti-codon, and T loops). The record is from RNAcentral. Lineage: Bacteria; Pseudomonadati; Pseudomonadota; Gammaproteobacteria.
GCCCUGGUAGCUCAGCAGGAUAGAGCGACGGCCUCCUAAGCCGUAGGUCCCAGGUUCGAAUCCUGGUCAGGGCGCCA